Cheilinus undulatus (humphead wrasse) is the source of this 233-nucleotide long non-coding RNA. RefSeq lists it as uncharacterized. The transcript has 3 exons. NCBI's taxonomy places the organism in Eukaryota, Metazoa, Chordata, Actinopteri, Labriformes, Labridae. The record is from RefSeq and is a predicted model, not a curated record.
UGGAAUUGUAACUGUAUUUGACUUUAACUUUCGCCUCAAGUAUAUCUGUUGGGCUUUUUUUUUCGAAUUUCCAAAUCCCAAACUUUCAAGUUGGAAUGAAAAAGGUGGCGUCCUCGGCCCAGGACCUUAUACCCAGCCUGGACAACCAAAUCAGGUUUACUUGAAGGACAGGAUACAUCGUGGAGACGGCCAUCCUUCAGGACCUCUUGGGCCUCCUUCUCCCUGAGGUGGCU